RNAcentral lists this transfer RNA (69 nucleotides) under Ictidomys tridecemlineatus (thirteen-lined ground squirrel). Its description in RNAcentral is "Spermophilus tridecemlineatus (thirteen-lined ground squirrel) tRNA". It matches the Rfam family "tRNA". From Rfam's summary of the family: Transfer RNA (tRNA) molecules are approximately 80 nucleotides in length. Their secondary structure includes four short double-helical elements and three loops (D, anti-codon, and T loops). The record is from Rfam by way of RNAcentral. Lineage: Eukaryota; Metazoa; Chordata; Mammalia; Rodentia; Sciuridae.
GGGGCUGUAGCUCAGUGAUAGAGCACUUGCCUCGCAUGCAUGAGGCCCUGGGUUUAAUCCUCAGCACCA